This is a non-coding RNA of Ictidomys tridecemlineatus (thirteen-lined ground squirrel), 1051 nucleotides long. The record is from RefSeq and is a predicted model, not a curated record. Lineage: Eukaryota; Metazoa; Chordata; Mammalia; Rodentia; Sciuridae.
GCUUGGCAUCGUUGGAGGUCUUGCGAUGGCCCACCAAGGGCAAAGCGUGCUUCACCACAUGGUCCUGGAUGGCUGACACCUCAGUGGAACCCUGUUUUGAAGAGGCCACAGGACCUGAGAGCCUAGAGCCUAAUGAGAAAGGUGCAUGGGGCCAGCUCAGCCCAGAACACCUGCACUCCAUCUUGCUGUACUUCAGCUGCUGUGGGCCCUGGGCAGGAGCACGUGCUCUGCUCGCCAGUUUCUGCUAAUUAAAAGCUUCAGAGCUGCCAUCCUCUCCAAACCAGAUCUAUCUGCAGAAACCUGGGGAAUGCCGAGCUGGACCCAGGCUCACCCUGAGCUGGUAAGCCACCCAGAACUAUAUGGUAAAAAACUUUUUAGUUAGAUUAGCAUGCAAAGAGGUAAUACAUGUGCCAAGUUGACCAGCUCCACCCAGGGAAGGGGAAGGGCCCACUGGGCAUGACAGCCUCGGUACCCAAACCACCUCCCAGCAAAUAAGGCUCAAUUCUGCCCCAGCACAUCCAGACCAAACCCACCAUUGCAUGGGCACCAAAGGAGAUAAGAGCCUACCUGCCAGGAGGUAUAGAGAGAACAACUGCUUUGGCAAAAGCAGAAGGAGCCUCACUGGGGCCUUAGGUCUUAUGACCUGCCAGGUAUGUGGUGCCCCAGCCCCAUCCCUCCUGCAAACUUGGUCCCUGAGCCACCUGGCUGAGCUUCCCACCAGUGCCUUCAGGCCAACAGUGGGGUGGGAAGAGCGGGCUGGGAAAGGCACUCCAGAUGCAGCGAACAGGGCAAAACUCCUGCCAUGCUUCCAACCCCAGAUGCUCAUGCCUGCUGGGUGCCCAGGCAGAGCCCCUGCUCACCUGCACAUCCAUCACGUGGCUCCUGGGCUCAUAUUUGGACUGGAAUUUCUCAGGCUGCAUUACGACCAACUUCCCCAGGGAAACUUUCAAGAACUUAGCUAUUUCAGUGCUGAAAGUGUGGUGAAAUUUGUAAUCUUCUCUCAGGUUGUUGGCUGACAAAUUAACAAUACAAUAAAAUGCAAUUUAUUAAA